CUAGCGACUUCAGAGUUUGAUCCUGGCUCAGGAUGAACGCUAGCGGCACGCUUAACACAUGCAAGUCGAGCGGGGCACUUCGGUGCCUAGCGGCGGACGGGUGCGUAACGCGUGGGUAACCUGCCCUAUACAGGGGGAUAACGUAUAGAAAUGUACGCUAAUACCGCAUAAGCUCACAGAGUCGCAUGGCUCAGUGGGAAAAACUCCGGUGGUAUAGGAUGGGCCCGCGUCUGAUUAGCUAGUUGGAGAGGUAACGGCUCACCAAGGCGACGAUCAGUAGCCGGUCUGAGAGGAUGGACGGCCACAUUGGGACUGAGACACGGCCCAA
This 328-nucleotide ribosomal RNA is filed under the name uncultured bacterium. Its description in RNAcentral is "bacterial SSU rRNA". It matches the Rfam family "Bacterial small subunit ribosomal RNA", at positions 1 to 334 of the family's 1533-position model. The record is from RNAcentral.